Molecule: ribosomal RNA, 352 nt
Filed under: Ixodes scapularis (black-legged tick)
Lineage: Eukaryota; Metazoa; Arthropoda; Arachnida; Ixodida; Ixodidae
Description: partial 16S ribosomal RNA
Source: RNAcentral
GGUAUUGAAAUAAGAUUUUAAAUGAGUGCUAAGAGAAUGAUUAAACAAUUAAAAACUUUCUUUAAUUAAAUAAUUAAAUUUAAUUUUUUUUGUGCAAAAGCAAAAAUAAAAUUUAGGGACAAGAAGACCCUAUGAAUUUUUAUUAUUAAUAUUUUGCAAUUAAAUUAUUAAUAAUUUAAUUGGGGUGAUAAAAAAAGAAUAAGUAUCUUUUUAAUUAUAAAAUAAGUUCCGUUUUUAGCGAUUAAAUGAAAAAAAUACUCUAGGGAUAACAGCGUAAUAAUUUUGGAUAGUUCAUAUAGAUAAAAUAGUUUGCGACCUCGAUGUUGGAUUAGGAUUCUUUUUUGGUGAAGAA